Molecule: unclassified non-coding RNA, 300 nt
Filed under: Hevea brasiliensis (rubber tree)
Lineage: Eukaryota; Viridiplantae; Streptophyta; Magnoliopsida; Malpighiales; Euphorbiaceae
Source: RNAcentral
UUGCGAAUGAUCUUCUUCUCAUCGCAAGCAUAAUUAACUUCAUUAUUAGUGUUUGAAUUUGCUAAUAUUAAAGGAGGCUGGCCAUCCACCAUAAAGUUGGAAAGGUUGGAAGUUCCACCCAAGAUCGGAUUGUCUUCAGCAAUAUCUUGGUGGGGAUUCGAGGAGAUUUGGGACGAAAAUUCAUUAUUUUGUUGGAAGGGAAACAUUGAAUGGAGGCUAAUCAAGCUUAAGUGCAGCAAUAAUGGAGUUAAAAGAAUUGGAUAUAUGGUUGUUGACGGUGGUCUCUAUGUACUCUAAUUG